GAAGGAGGAGCUUGCUUCUCUGGAUGAGUUGCGAACGGGUGAGUAACGCGUAGGUAACCUGCCUGGUAGUGGGGGAUAACUAUUGGAAACGAUAGCUAAUACCGCAUAACAGUAGAUGUCGCAUGACAUUUGCUUAAAAGGUGCAAUUGCAUCACUACCAGAUGGACCUGCGUUGUAUUAGCUAGUUGGUGGGGUAACGGCUCACCAAGGCGACGAUACAUAGCCGACCUGAGAGGGUGAUCGGCCACACUGGGACUGAGACACGGCCCAGACUCCUACGGGAGGCAGCAGUAGGGAAUCUUCGGCAAUGGACGGAAGUCUGACCGAGCAACGCCGCGUGAGUGAAGAAGGUUUUCGGAUCGUAAAGCUCUGUUGUAAGAGAAGAACGAA
Molecule: ribosomal RNA, 390 nt
Filed under: uncultured Streptococcus sp.
Lineage: Bacteria; Bacillati; Bacillota; Bacilli; Lactobacillales; Streptococcaceae
Description: bacterial SSU rRNA
Rfam family: Bacterial small subunit ribosomal RNA
Source: RNAcentral